GGGAUAUUAGCUCAGUUGGCAGAGCAGCUGACUCUUAAUCAGCGGGUCGAGGGUUCGAGCCCCCCAUAUCCCA
RNAcentral lists this transfer RNA (73 nucleotides) under Pisciglobus halotolerans. RNAcentral describes it as "Carnobacteriaceae bacterium C01 tRNA". It matches the Rfam family "tRNA". From Rfam's summary of the family: Transfer RNA (tRNA) molecules are approximately 80 nucleotides in length. Their secondary structure includes four short double-helical elements and three loops (D, anti-codon, and T loops). Lineage: Bacteria; Bacillati; Bacillota; Bacilli; Lactobacillales; Carnobacteriaceae. The record is from Rfam by way of RNAcentral.